AGAGUUUGAUUAUGGCUCAGGAUGAACGCUGGCGGCGUGCCUAACACAUGCAAGUCGAGCGAUCUUCUUCGGAAGAGAGCGGCGGACGGGUGAGUAACGCGUGGGUAACCUGCCCUGUACACACGGAUAACAUACCGAAAGGUAUGCUAAUACGAGAUAAUAUGCUUUUAUCGCAUGGUAGAAGUAUCAAAGCUCCGGCGGUACAGGAUGGACCCGCGUCUGAUUAGCUAGUUGGUAAGGUAACGGCUUACCAAGGCGACGAUCAGUAGCCGACCUGAGAGGGUGAUCGGCCACAUUGGAACUGAGACACGGUCCAA
Molecule: ribosomal RNA, 317 nt
Filed under: uncultured bacterium
Lineage: Bacteria
Description: bacterial SSU rRNA
Rfam family: Bacterial small subunit ribosomal RNA
Source: RNAcentral